This 72-nucleotide transfer RNA is filed under the name Caldifarciminota bacterium. RNAcentral describes it as "tRNA-Gly". It matches the Rfam family "tRNA". From Rfam's summary of the family: Transfer RNA (tRNA) molecules are approximately 80 nucleotides in length. Their secondary structure includes four short double-helical elements and three loops (D, anti-codon, and T loops). The record is from RNAcentral. Lineage: Bacteria; Pseudomonadati; Caldifarciminota.
GCGGGAGUAGCUCAGUGGUAGAGCAUCACCUUGCCAAGGUGAGGGUCGCGGGUUCGAACCCCGUCUCCCGCU